CUGGUCACCAGGGGCCGACUGGUCAGCAGGCGCUCAGUGGCACAAUAAAACAAUAAUGCUGAUUUAAAGGAGUGUCAAUCACCUCAACCACCAGAGGGGGGGAAGCAUGCGACACAGAACUGUAUUCAGCAGCUUCCUUUGCACCAGAUUAGAGUUGGACAGACACACGGGUGAACAGACACUCACACACAAGAUCGAUCACAUGAUCCUCCUUGCAAAUAUGCUGCUAACCGAACCUUCUCCAUCAUUUACUUCUACUGGAACACUUGAUUUGCACUUUAUUAUCUUCUGUUUGUGUUUAUAUUUUCUCCUCUUGCCUGGAGACAUUUCUCUGCUAUUUCCAUAUUUUUCAGGAACUGAAACACCAUGUUGACAAUCUGUCACACAAGUGCCUGUUUUGGCACUUGUGUGACAGAUUGAUGACUUGGGAAUAAGGUCGGACUUGACAUCUGAAGGUCUUACAACACAAGAGUGCAGACAGCUGCUACAAACAAUGACAUGAUUCACAUAUUAACUAAAUGUAUUGUGUCUCCUCGCUGUUUAAAAUGUGGUGUUUCUAACACAGACAGCACUUAAAAAUGUUUUAUUGGAACUGGCCUUCACGUCAUCUGGAGUCCAGACAAUGAAACACAUACAACUCUGAGUUGGACCGUAGAGGAAUAACACAAACUACCUUUUGUUUCUGCAGUUUAAGAAAAAACUGUUUCUUGUUUCUGGGCCACCUCAUUUUUUUUUGCAUUAGUUAACCAAUAAGAACAGUUAUUAGUUAUUUUAGGGUGUAUCUACCAUUGUUCUCCAAUUUUGUCACAUUUCUAAAUAUUUUGAUAAGUUAUCCUUUCCCUCCUUCUGCACUGAAAAAUGCACGUUUGGCACUGAUACACUGUGAAGGAUUUCCAGACGGCCAAGCCGUGGAUGCCCACGUCCUCCCAGUCUGCUGCUGCCCUCAGAGAGACUUUAGAACAUCACCACAAGGAGGAAGUAGUGUGUUUGCUCAGCAAGAGGAAGCCAGCUGGUCCUGAACGGCAAUGAAGAGCUGCUUUAGAGUACGGUGAGCACCUGAAGCAUAUCAGUAACAUCAGAAUGCACAUAAAUGAUUCACUGUGCGGGCUUGGACUUCAUGUCACUACAUGUGACAAUUCUGUAUUUGAAGGCUCACGAGGGGACGAUGGUGGCCCAGCACCACCCAGCAGACACUCAUCUAGAGACCACGCGGUGAACACAGUGGAGCAUUUCUCACAGGAGCUGUUCUCCACCAAGGAGAGGGACUGGAUGUGCUCAGAUUAUCACGCUAACGUUGCUCCCCACAUGGUGGACGUGUCGAUCUGAUGAGCAACUGUUUAUGCAUGCGAGCUAGCGGGGAAACGUUCCACUGUUGUUUCCACAGCUUAUUUCAGCUCAGCGCCCUUUAAACAUCGUCUGGUCUCUACGUUGCUUUCACGCCCACGCCGUGUUGACGACAUCCUGGAACUUUCCACGGACACUGUCGUUGGUUUUGUGUGGACCAAAUAAUCAAAGAUCGUCGGUUUGUUUGUGAUGUGAAAUGAAAGAAACCACCCGCAGGAUCUGAUCCACGCACGGCGGUGCUGACGAUGCAGGAGGUGAACAGUGGUUCUCAACUGGUCGGGCUGGGUGACGUGACCAAAGAGAAGAAGUCUCACAUGCAUUUGAUAAAAGAUGGUGCAGUUUGAACCUGGAACAGCAGUUUAUGUAGAGUAGAAAUGCAGAAGAAUCUCCCUGGGAAGUCGACCCAGAAGCCGUAAACAGGUCUCUGAAACAAGGCUGCAGCAUUGGGGCCAUAAUGAGAGCUGUGGCAUCGUUCCAGAUGUUGACUGGAAAAAUGUGUGCUGAGAAUUUACUGCUAUUGUAGCACAAUAAAAACUCCACAGCGCCACAUUCAUUUAGCAGCAUGGCGGUAAGACAGACUGAGGUUUGUCAGGAAGUUUUAUCAAAAAAAAGAGUAUUUGAGCAACUGAUAAAAUAAAUCCAUAUUGUCACAUGAUCUAUCCAUAAGAUAUUCACAUAUUCAUAAAUAUAAUCCAACACCAUCCAGCCUCUGCUAUCCCUGUGCAGCAUCACAGUGUCGAUGAUCCAACAAUGGUCUGCUCAGUGCGUAUCACAGCAUGCCUCCUCCCAUGACCUCACUAUUCUCACUAUCAGUCCGUCGGGGGCGUUUGGAUCCCCUCUGCUGAAAAGAAGCCUGUUGCACGAGUUUUCCAGUUCAUUCUGCCAACUGGAUGUUUUUUCCGCCACCUUUGAACUCAGCGGCGUGUUUGUGUUAAAUACACUCAUGCUAUCAACUUUAGGACAAACUGGGCCAGAAGAGGGAGAGAAAUACGUUUUUUAGUAAUCAGUGUCCUGGAUACAGAUUUCUAUAUUGCAAUAAAAGUUACUAUGAAUGCUCCUAAUCUGUCACGGAGGAAGCUCCUGAGGAGGCCUCGGACGCAGAGUUGAGGUUCAGCUGACGCUUUUAUUUCCCUGGGAACAAAAAACUUCUCCGAAGAGAGAUGAACGGGGGAAAGCUCUGGCUAAACUAAGGGAGCUGAAUAGUUAACAAAUGCAAAACCAAAAUCUCUCUCACAGAGGAAAUAAUCCUCAAACAAUCAAUCACAAAAAGGCUCUAAACUAAAUCAAGGAGCUAUGGAGCCAAAAACGGCACGAGGCCAACUGAGGAGACCACAAGGCCCACUGAGGAGACCACAAGGCCCACUGAGGAGACCACAAGGCCCACUGAGGAGACCACAAGGCCAACUGAGGAGACCACAAGGCCCACUGAGGAAACCACAAGGUGGCUCGGUACGAACUAAUCAUUCUCGACUCUUUGCCCUGCCGGCAAUAGAUGCCCCCCUACAGGGGUCCUAACUACGCUUCUUUGCUGCUCAUAUUGAAAGUCCCGCCAUGAACUAAAGAUAUACAACACAACCAGACUGGGAGGGAAGCGUCAUCCUUCCUGGUGUGCUGAACCACCACGUAGGUCAGAGCAUGGGGGGCAAGGUGGUUUCUCACGGGGGGUCCAUGGAGGCCUUGCUAACAGUGUGUUAGCGGAAAGAAACAACGUCCUUGCCUGCAUUGAAAUUCAGAGAACUAAGAAUAAUUAGACUUCAGGGACCCUCCUCCAAGCAGCCAUUUCCCCCCGAACCAACAAAACAUCAAUCUUGUAGUUCCACUGGAGCCUCCAAGCAUCCAGAUGUUGAUCCCCCAACAGGGCCACUAAACAGAAGAUCAGGUGAUCGGUCACACAAUGGAAACGUAAUAAUUCAUGUGGUGAUUUAAAGAUGAUUAAAGUCUCCUGAUCCAGACAGAUCGGAUGUUUGAUGUACGUGAUGAUUUAUCCACUAAACACCUCAGUCAAGGAUAGUUUUUAGUACACAAAACCAAAUUAGAAACCGAUUGUUUGAAAAAUGAAAGUGCUUUUAAUCUGUGGGUGUGUAGUCUUCCGUGUUGCUUGCACACUUCUGAUCUCAUGCGUUCCCUCUGGUGUUGCUGCUGCAUGACAACAAUCCACUGCUCGGAGGUUGACCUUUGUGUAGAACAAUGGGUGUUUAAGGAGCCUGGCGGGGGUCUCCUGUCAAUGCAUCUAUCCGUCAGCGGCGCUCCAGGUGGGACUGGGAGCGCGAAGAGGAAAGCUGAGGGGAAACGCUGUGGGCAAACACAAUGAGAGGGUCUUUUCCUUUUCAAUCAAUCCGUCAAGAUCAGCAUCUUUAAGAAACAAACCGCUAUUGUUUGCAUUCGCAGGUAUACGUUCAUUGAGAUUAAGGUUAGGAAAAUAUUGCAGGCAUGAAAGAGACAUUUCAAUAAGCUGAACUGUAAUUGUUUGCUCACAAAACUUGUUACAAGUUGCCAGAUUUAAAACCUUCAACUUUAUUUACACCAGAAAAUCCACGGCGGAAAUGUUUAUGCAAUUUCCUUCAGAGCUCCUGUUCCGCAGCCAAUAAAAUCCAUCAGCAAGAAUUGUCAAAUGAAGUUGAUCCAUUUUGAUAAGUAAGCUUUCUUGAUAAACUAUCACUUCUAACACUAUUAAUAUUCCCAUUUCUAUUACUGUAAACUUUACUGCGCAUCACUAACUUUGUUUCUUCCAAGUAUUUGUGCUUUCUCACCUCACAGGUUUCCAUGAAUCUUGGUUCAAUCUGGACCCUGUUCCUGCCUCCUGCCGUGACCCUGCUGACCCCUGCUGCUGCCACCAUCCUCAUUAUUGUUGUUUUAAAUAUCACAUUACUGUUACUGUCAUCGUAAACCAACAAUACGCUCCCCUAAAGUCGUAGUGCUCUUGCUCCCCACAGGCUUCUGUGGAUGGUGGAUCUAUCUGAUGGUGGUUCUACCUGAUGGUGGUUCUAUCUGAUGAUGGUUCUACGUGAUGGUGGUUCUACGUGAUGGUGCUUCUAUGUGAUGGUGGUUCUACGUGAUGGUGGUUCUACCUGAUGGUGGUUCUACGUGAUGGUGGUUCUACCUGAUGGUGGUUCUAUCUGAUGAUGGUUCUACGUGAUGGUGGUUCUACGUGAUGGUGGGUCUAUCUGAUGGUGGUUCUAUGUGAUGGUGGGUCUAUCUGAUGGUGGUUCUAUGUGAUGGUGGGUCUAUCUGAUGGUGGUUCUACCUGAUGGUGGUCCCCAGCAGGUUCCUCCCAGCAGGUUCCUCACAGGUCCGUGGGGCUCGAGGAGGGAAAGCAAUUCGCUGCCAGACUUUCAAAACCAUAAGUAGAUGAGAUGAGGUGUUUUGGACAGAUUAUGAACUUGAUAUAAACUUCACGUCGCUCCAUCUCCUCCUGGGUGAGGUUACGAUUACAUGUCAGUUACCAGGCACAUCAGGAAGAUUAGCAAUUACUCACUCGGCGUUAUCUUGAAU
This is a long non-coding RNA of Gasterosteus aculeatus aculeatus (three-spined stickleback), 4836 nucleotides long. NCBI's taxonomy places the organism in Eukaryota, Metazoa, Chordata, Actinopteri, Perciformes, Gasterosteidae. The record is from Ensembl.